GAAAGGGAGUACUUGGCGAGGAUAUUCAAAUCCUUUUGGACAGACUUGAUGAACAGACCACUGAUGUUCUUGUACAUCGAAAACAUACAGCUCUUCAAAGACUCCCAUUAUUUUUGAGGGAGAAGACUGACAUUCUGCUGAGGACUUGUCUGGAAACAGACCCAGAGGAAAGUUGCACCCAAGGCCUGAAAGUGGGUAUCAUCAUUAUUGUUGAGGAUGAUGUUGCCAAUGUCCAUUCCAACCCCAAUAUUGUCAGAACAGGCAUUGUACUGGAGGAGC
This is a long non-coding RNA of Erpetoichthys calabaricus (reedfish), 279 nucleotides long. RefSeq lists it as uncharacterized. The record is from RefSeq and is a predicted model, not a curated record. Lineage: Eukaryota; Metazoa; Chordata; Cladistia; Polypteriformes; Polypteridae. The transcript is spliced from 3 exons.